RNAcentral lists this long non-coding RNA (1076 nucleotides) under Gigantopelta aegis. RNAcentral describes it as "uncharacterized LOC121381116, transcript variant X3". Lineage: Eukaryota; Metazoa; Mollusca; Gastropoda; Neomphalida; Peltospiridae. The record is from RNAcentral.
AAGUAGGUUUGAUAUUUUACAUUCCUCUCUCCCAACAGACGACCUCUAUUACGACUAUUAACUACUCAGUCAAGUCAAGCCAUCUCUUCUGUUGCUAGGAUGAGUGUGACCAUUAGUUAUGUUUUUCGAAAAGAAAAAGAAAAAAGGAAAGCAGGAAAAAACAAGCAAAAAAACCCACACCUUCAAAUAUUUGUAUUUUUAACGAUAUUUGUUUUAAUGUUAAUUUUAUAACAUAAUUAUUAAUUAAAUCCGUAAAUUUAAACUGUGCAUGCACUACAAGAAACAAUAUUCUGGUUAUUAAUUAUAAUAUAUAAAACACUCGCGAAUAGUUUGACUGGUACCAUAGUAUUCUAUCAUAUCACAUUUAUUUAAAGUUAAAGAGUAAAACCCAGUCUGAACAAGCCUCUCAAUAUGACGUCAUAAACGCUCAUGACGUUCACUUAGCAACGUGUUUACUUUACAAAGCACGUUUGUUAAAUCUGCUACUUAGUCCCGUAUUAUUUUGUUUCAUAUAGUUGUGGAACACUAAUUAUGCAGGUUUUGUUUUUGGAUUUAAUCUAUUCUUGCAGAUUUUACAAAAGGUUUUCCGACGGGAUUAAGAGGAAAAGAAUCCACAAAUUUGACGAUGCUUGGUACCUUGAAUUUAGCAAUCUGAAAAAGUAAAUAGCAACCCGUAAGAUAUGACAUGAUAACUCAAUAAUACGUGACGUGUCUCGUUGCCGUAGUGGUUAAGCCAUAGGAAAUGAGGCUGGUACGAAAAACAGAAGAAGAUAUAUUGUGAAGUGAAAUGAAGUUUGAUCUACCACAAAGGAAGGAAGGGAACUCUGUUUACGUGCCCAUAUCCCGAAGGUUCAGGCACGCCCACCCCGGACUUAGCCCCUGACUUCGCCAGUGGCCAAAUCCAGGGCGGAUCUAUCACAAACACUGGGACCAUCAGAAACACAUUGUGAUAUACAAACACUCAUUUUUUUUUAAAAGAAUAUGAAAUAAUAUGUAAUAUCAGUCGUUAGAAAGGUUCAGUUUUUGUGGUAAAGUUUUAACCAAAAAAGACACAUAAAACAAAAAUCAAAUCAAAA